AUACUUAGCUGGCAGAGGUGAUACCAUGAUCAAGUAGGUGGUUUUCCUAGGUGAGGCUCAUCAUGGCACUCAGGGUGUGCUGACCCCUGUGACUUCCCCAAGUGGGGCAAACUUGACUGUAUGGUUUGUGGUAGUGAGGGACUGUGUUCCUGUUUUACUCUUA
Meriones unguiculatus (Mongolian gerbil) is the source of this 163-nucleotide small nuclear RNA. Its record names the gene U1. It matches the Rfam family "U1 spliceosomal RNA". Rfam says of the family: U1 is a small nuclear RNA (snRNA) component of the spliceosome (involved in pre-mRNA splicing). Its 5' end forms complementary base pairs with the 5' splice junction, thus defining the 5' donor site of an intron. NCBI's taxonomy places the organism in Eukaryota, Metazoa, Chordata, Mammalia, Rodentia, Muridae. The record is from Ensembl.